UGUUAUCAAAUAAAUAACAACACAAUAAUAUUUUUUUAUUGUUCGCUGACUUUUGAAUCAUUCGAUUAUUUGAAAUUUGAACAGAAGUACAGACUACAUUCGUGCAGAGUUGUAUUCAUACGUUUUAUUAAAAACUUGCCGUGCACAAGCGUAUUAUUUUUAGUAAAACAUCCAAAGUAUCGCCACAUUGCCUUCAUUUUCAUUUAAUCUGCGGUACCUAAUCAUUUCACAAUCAGUGAUUGUAAGCAAGGCUCAGUAAAUUAGUAGAUAUUAUGGCCAGAGACUGUCUCAAAACAUAAUCCAAACCACUUGUCUGGGAUAGAGAACAGCAAAGUAAAAUAAACACUAUAAAAUAAAUUUUAAUAAUUUUCAUCAACAUUAGUAUUACUCUGAACACGACUAGUAAAUCGCAUCUAAGAGAAAAUUGUGUUUCUCCAACGAUGUGUUAGAAGAAAAUGAACGAUUAAACAAAGAAUUUGGAGACGUCACAGUUUAUGAUUUUAAUUCACCUAGAAAAGCCUUAAACACUUAAUAAUGUCUAAUCCACUCACACUUAUUGGAUUAUACUUAUAUUGGUUUUCAAAACUGAAAUAUAUGAUGUACCCCACAUACAAGGAACUAGGAAGUCGAGCCAAUAUAUUGACAAUUGUUCAGACGUUGACUUUCUUGAAGAUAAUUCUGCCGGUUCAGAUGAAGCCACACAAUAUUCUAGCGAAUAAUGAAACUUAAAGGUAUUACAAUUGUGCUGAGCAAGAGCCAAGAAUCCAAUUUUAAUAACACAGAGGGCCUCAACAUAACAUUUAAAUUGCAAAGGAACACAUAACUAGUUCGGACUUUGGUAUCUUUUCUGAAGGGAAAUUGAAUAUAGUUGGAUGCAUUUAACAGGUCAAAAUUAAAAGUUCCUAGUUGGUUCCAGAAACCUUUGGAGAAACAAAAAGAUAAUUAAGGAAAAAUGGUUAUUUUAACGCAACACCAAUUCUUGACAAUGAUUGAUUUUGUUUUAUUGGUGUAACUAAAAAAAAUAACUAUAGAUACAUGAUUUGUUAACCGAAUAUUCCUAUUAGCAUUUUCUAUUCACCAUACAAAUUACCAUUAAUAAAAGUUCUUUGCUAUAUCAAAGACUUUGAAAAUGUAAUAUAGGGAUCCUUAUAGUUUCUAUAAUAUGUGUUCAAAAAUAUACAAUAUAGCCACCAUUUUUCAUAAGCAUUUAAAGUUCACAUUUCGACAAAAUUCAUCAAUGAUUUGCAAAUUAUUUUAUAGUUAUAAAUGUAUAAAUUGUUAAAUUGUAUAUUUAGCUUAUGCUUAUACUAUAUAAUAUGCUUUUAUUAAAUCUGUUUUGUUUUCAAGCAAUGGUUAUUGCUUGAUUUCAAAGUUAAUUAUAAAAUACUCUGCUCAAAAAUUUAAAUAUUUAUUUUCCAAAUUCAUACUAAAAACAUUGUUUCACAUAUUUUAUUUUAUUAUUUUUUUAAUGUUCUUUAGAGUUUAUACACAAAUUUUGCCCGUCUCUUAUUUAAACAAUUGGUUUAAAAGCCACCUCAAGCUGUUACCACACAUGCCAUUUGUGAAUCCGUGACUAAUGAACAAGAUUUGUUGACAAAGGUUUACCUGUUAGGAUGGUUGGCUUGAACUGUGGAAAUGAUGGCCAUAUAUAUUGAAUUUGUCGCUGAUAGGCUGUUAAGCGAAUUGGGGUGUCCUACAUUUUACAGGUCGUCAAACUCGUUUCUAUUUACAACAAGAAAAGGCAAACUUCUUUAAAAACGAGUAGGCGAUUACCAAAAACCUUCAGUUGCUGUUAUUAAAAUUCUUCAACUAUCAACAAUGGAUAUAAUUGAUGAAGACUUUUAAAUUAGGUCGUCAAUCCCAUCUACAACGAGGAAAGACAAACUUCUUAGUAUAAGAUACUAACGUGCCUAUUUCCUUUAAUUUGUAAUUGUUUUUACUGUGUUUCCCCCCACCACCCAUCAGAAGGAUUAAUUAGUUACUUUAUUUUACCAAAAAAAAACUAUACCUAUGCACUCUGGAGUUAUGUUUGUGAAUAAAAUUAUUUUGUCAAUGACUUAUUUAAGAAAACUUUAUUUUUAAAUUUUAUAAUAAAAAAGAAAAGUAGGAAUUUGAAAUCAUUAUAAUAUCAUAAUUUUCAUUUUUGUUUGUAUUUAUAGUCUAAUUUAUAGUUUAUAUGUAUUUUAAAAUUUAGAAAUACAUGACUUAUGUGGUAAUGUGUUGUAAAUUAUUGUCAUACUUGCAGCAGUUGUUUGAUAACAUACUAAAUAAGAAAUUAUUACUAGGUGGAUAAGAAAAAAAAUAAAUUAUAAUCUAAUAUAAGAUAUAACUGUAGGCAUAUAAAACAAUUAAAACAUUUUGUUUUUCGUGUCUAUGGACUUAAAACUAAUUAAUUUCAACUUUUUAACUUAAUUUUUUCUGUGUUUAUUAAUUUAAUCUAUUUUAAUAUGAUUAGAGUGCGGAUUCGUAUGAUUUUACAUAUUAUAUAUUCUGGUUGAUGGUAUAAAAUGCUAAUAGUGAGCACAUAAUUUGUUUCCCGACCAUAAGGAUUUAAACUGUGAAUCUUUUGGGCUGCAUAAUACAACAGUUAACUAACUUUUUCAUUUCGAGGACUUAUUAAAGAUUUUAAUCGCAAAUAUCUGUGUUUUUUUUUGGACAUUUUUGAAUAAAUUACUGUUGCAAUAUUGAUAUUUUUCUAUAUGAGAUAAAGAAAUCUAAUUUGCUUCAUGUCAUUCCAAUUCCAAAUAAAUCAAUUUUUUUUGUUUUUUUUUUUUGCAAUUAUUCCAUUAGUGGCAUUUUAAUUUUUAAUAUAUUUACUAUGAUGAUAAUAAUAAAAUAAAUUUAUUUUAAUAAAUAAGAAAUUAAAAAACACCAUUUAUAGUAGUGCAUGACAGUAGUUACAGCUCUGAAAUUUUUUAUUUGGAUCAAGGUUAGAACCACUGGAAUCAUAUAUAUAUUUAAUUUUCGAAUAAAAAUAUACAUUUGUAUGAAUUUCUAACUGCAAAUUGGGUUUUCAAAUUUACGUGAUUUAUACGAAUUUUGUCGAAAUUUUAACUUCAGACGCUCGUAAAAAACUACUGUGGAUUUACGCUAGACUUUUUUUUAAUUUCCACCAACAACAAAAUACGAGGAACGUCGUAGGCGUAUUACAUCCUCAAGUUAUUGGACCAAGCGAAAAAUUUUUUAUCGUCAAAAACUAAAAUAAUCGAAAAUUUCAUUUGCAUACCUUGACAUGAAUAUAAAUAUUUUGAAAAUGUUAUGGUUUUAAAUUCUAAUAUAAACAAUCAGUGGAGAUUGCAUGUAUCUACAGUAAUUUAUUUUAGAGUAAAACCACUUACAAGAAAAACCAAAACCGAUUUUACGUAAAAAUGCACGUUUUCCUUAAUUUUUUUUUGUUUUUCCCGGCGCUUUUGGGGCCUAGGUACUGUUAAUUUCCGACAUCCCCUAUGCGCCUACUACAUUCACUUUCCCACCGGAAAAGAUGAAAACCUAAGCAUUAUUUCGACUACUUAUCGUGUACACAGACACAAAAAAUAAAAAUGUAUUACGCAGAACGUACAUUUGCUAAUAGUUUCAAUAUAGGUCGAUUCACUCUAAUUUUUAAACUGACUGUGCUAAAAUAAAUGUGAUAUGCCGAUCGUAAAUUUACCAUACAAGACGAAGACAAUAAAAUGCCCGUGUUACGUCUUAAAUCGUGGGUCAUGGAGUUGCAUCGUUCACGAAAUUUCGGACUUCGGUAAAAUUUAAAGCCCGCGAUUCUGUCUUAUUACUAUGAUAGUAAUAAUUGUCAUCAAAUAAAUAACAACAUAAUAUUAUUAUUUUUUCGUUUGCCGGACUUUAAAUUAAAACUUCGGACUUCGAUAAAAUUUAAUGCCCGCCACCGACCAGAAUUUCCUCCAAUUGGUAAUCAUUCUGCCUUAUCACUAUGUACCACGAAAUAGUAAUAAUUGUUAUCAAAAAAAUACAUAAUAAUAUUAUUUUUUCGUUUGCCGACGUUUGAAUCACUCGCGAAUCGCGAUUAUUUGAAAAUUUGAACGAAAAAUACAGACUACAGUCGUACAGAGUUCUAUUGAUACAUUUUAGUACAAAAUCACCAUGGAUAAGUGUAUUCUUUUUAGUAAAACAUCCAAAGUAUCGCCUCGCCACAUUACGUUAAUAUUCAUUUAUUUCCAAAAAAUCAACGAAUUAAAUGAUUAUCCCAAUUUCUACCCGACAUAGAAUCUGUGAUUCUAAACAAUGCUCAGUAAAUUAGUACACAUGGUCAGAGGCUGUCUCAAAACAUAAUCCAAACCACUUGUCUGGGAUAGAGAAGUAAAAUAAAUUUUAGCCAUUUACGGCAACAUUGGUACUACUCUGAGCACGACCAGGAAAUCACAUCUAAGAGAAAACAGUGUUUCUCCAACGAUGAGUUAGCAGAAAAUGAACAGCGAAUAAAGGAUUUGGAGGCCUUACAGUUGAUGAGUUUAAUUCGCCCAGAAAAGUCUUCGAUACUUAAUAAUGUCUAAUUCACACACACUUAUUUCAUACAAUGGAUUAUUGUUUUCUAAACAGAAAUAUAUGAUGUACCACAUACAAGGAACUAAGAAGUGGAGCCAAUGUGUUGACAAUUUUUCAGACGUCGAACUAUGAAACUUAAAGGUGGUAAUAUUGUUGGUAAUACAAUUUUGCUGAGCAAGAAUCCAUUUUUAAUAACGCCGAGGGCCUCAACACAUUUAACUUGCAAAGAAUCACGUAACUAGUCUGGACAUUGGUAUCUUUUCUGAAGGGAAAGCACAUCUGGUUGUAUGCUUUGGACAGUUUGUCAAUCCCAUUUACAACGAGGAAAGACAAACUUCUUUGCAAAAAUAGUAUGCAAUUACCAAAAAGCUCCAGUAGCUGUUAUUAAAAUUCUUCAACUAUCAACAAUGGACAUGAUCGAUGAAGACUUUUAAAUUAGGUAUAUUUUUAUACGUACUAUUUCCUUUAAUUUGUAAUUAUUUAUCCUGUGUUUCCCUCCCCCCCUCAUCACCCAUGAGAAGGAUUAAUUAGUUACUUUAUUUGACCAAAAAAAACUAUACCUAUGCACUCUGGAGUAAUGUUUGAAAAUAAAAUUAUUUUGUCAAUGACGUAUUUAUAAUUAUAAGAAAACUUUAUUUUAAAUUUUAUAACAAAAAAGAAAAGUAUUUAAAAUCUUUAUAAAUUAUACUAUCAUACUUUUUAUAUUUGUCGUAUUUAUAGUUUAAUUGUAAUUUAAAAUUUAGAAAUAUAUGAUAAAUUUGUUGUAAUUUUUUGUUAUACUUAAUUUUUUUUUUAAUUUCCUGUUAGUAACCAUUAUUUUUACAUACUAGAUAAAUUCUUACUGAAUAAGAGAAAAUAAAUUGUAAUAUAAUGUAAGAUUUGACUGUAGUAAACAAUAGACAUAUAAAACAAAUUGUUUUUUGUCUGGAUAAUGCAGAACUUAAAAGUAAACCUUGUGAUUAAUAUGUUAAUUUCAACUUUUUAAUUUAAUCAUUUCAGUUUUUAUUAAAUUAAUUUCUUUACAUUUUAUUAUGAUUAGAGAGCGGAUUUUUGUAUGCAUUUGCAUAUUUAUUCUGGUUGAUCUUACACUAUGCUGAGUGACCACAGAAUUUGUUUUUAUGACCAUAACGAUUUAAACUGGAACUGCUGCAUAUUUCGAUAAUUAACUCAUUUUUAUUAAUUUAAGGACUUAUUUUAUGAUUUUAAUUGCAUAUUUCUUUGUUUUUAAUGGAUAUUUUUGAAUUGAAUACUACUGCAAUAUUGACAAAAAAAAAGAUAAAUGUCAUUAUGGAAUUCAAUUUUGUGUUUUAUAGUUAUACACUUAUACACAGUACCCAUAUUGUAUUUAUAUUUUAUUUGCAUAAAAUAUUGUUUGGCGCCCAAAACAGAAUUAAUGCAACUUUUCAUACUACCUUAGGUUGCUGACAUGAAUAAUAUAAUAUAAUGUAAAGGCCAUCUCUAUACUAAGAGAAUAGGGGUACUGGGAAUUUCGACCUCCCCAAAGCAUCAACUGGAUUCACUUUUCCACCGGAAAUGAUGAGAAGCGAAGCAUUAUUUCGACUACUUAUCGUGCACACAGACAUAAAAUAAAAAAAAAAAAAUUACGCAGAUCGUAAAUUUGCUAAUAUUUUCAAUAUAGGUCGAUUCAAUCUAAUUUUUAAUCUAACAAUGCUAAAUGUGAUCUGCUGAUCGUAAAUUUGCUAUACAAGACGGAGACAAUAAAACGACCGUGUUACGUCUUAAAUCGCGGGUCAUGGAGCAGCGUUUCUGACUUAUCACUAUGUACCACGAAAUAGUAAUAAUUGUUAUCAAAUAAAUACAUAAUGAUAUUAUUUUUUUCGUUUGCCGACGUUCGAAUCACUCGCGAAUCCCAAUUAUUUGAAAUUUGAACAGAAAUACAGACUACAGUCGUACAAAGUUCUAUUGAUACAUUUUAGUACAAAAUCAUCAUGGAUAAGUUUAUUCUUUUUAGUAAAACAUCCAAAGUAUCGCCCCGCCACAUUACGUUAAUUUUCAUUUUUUUCCAAAAAAUCAACGAAAUAGAAGAAAAUAAUGGCUAAAAAUCUUUGAAUUAAAUGAUUAUCCCAAUUUCUACCCGACAUAGAAUCUGCGGUAGUCAUUUCACAAUCAGUGAUUGUAAACAAUGUUCAGUAAAUUAGUAAACAUGGUCAGAGGCAGUCACAAAACAGAAUCCAAACCACUUAUCUGGGAUAGAGAAGUAAAAUGAAUUUUAGUCAUUUACGGCAACAUUGGUACUACUCUGAGCACGACUAGGAAAUCGUAUCUAAGAGAAAACUUUGUUUCUCCAACGAUGAGUGAGCAGAUAAUGAACAGCGAAUAAAGGAUUUGGAGGCCUUACAGUUGAUGAUUUUAAAUUGCCUGGAAAAGUCUUAGAUACCUAAUAAUGUCUAAUUCACACACAUUUAUUUCAUACAAUGGAUUAUACUUAUUAUUGUUUUCAAAACAGAAAUAUAUGAUGUACCACAUACAAGGAACUAAGAAGUGGAGCCAAUGUAUUGACAAUUUUUCAGACGUUGAAACCAAACGUCGAGCUAUGAAACUUAAAGGUGGGAAUAUUGUUGAUAGGUUUUUAUUCUAAAUCUAUUUUACUGUGAUAUUAACUAACAUACCCACCUGUUCAUGGGACACAUUGUAUAAUAUCUAAUUGUGUGCGUGGACAUAUAUUUGUCUAUUGAAAGGAUUCAGCCCCUUGAGUCAAAAUAAAUUAAUAAAUAAAUAAUUAUAUGUUACAUUCUUAAAAUAUCCAAACUUGUAUGAAAAAUUAAAUACAAAUAUAUUAAGUGCUUCCCCAUAAGGUCCCUUAAAAAAUGUCAUAUAGGCUGUUAAACGAGUUGGGAUGUCCUGCAGUAAGUACAUUUAUUUAUCAUAGUAAUAAUAAUUUUCAAAUUUAAUUAAAUAUGUAAAUUAAAGGUUUACAGAUUCUCAAACCCGUUCCCAUUUAUGGAUCUUAUAUCUCAACAAGGAAAGACAAACUUCUUUGAAAAAAGAGUUGGCGAUUAUCAAAAACCUUCAGUAGCUGUUAUUGAAACUCCUCAAUUGUCGACAAUGGACAUAACUGAACAAGACUUUUAAAUUAGGUAUAUUCUGAUAGCCGCAGUAUUUCCUUCUAUUUGUGUACUUAUUUAUUCUAUGUUUCCCCAUCCACCACCCAUCAGAGGGUUAUUAGUUACAUUAUUUAACGAAGCCGCACUAUGCACUCUGAAUUAUGUUUGUGAAUAAAAUUAUUUUGUCAAUGACGUAUUUAUAAUUAUAAGAAAACUUUAUUUUAAAUUUUAUAACAAAAAAGAAAAGUAUUUAAAAUCUUUAUAAAUUAUACUAUCAUACUUUUUAUAUUUGUCGUAUUUAUAGUUUAAUUGUAAUUUAAAAUUUAGAAAUAUAUGACAAAUUUGUUGUAAUUUAUUGUUAUACUUAAUCUUUUUUUUUUAAUUUCUCGUUAGCAGCAGUUAUUUUUACAUACUAGAUAAAUUCUUACUGAAUAAGAGAAAAUAGAUUGUAAUAUAAUGUAAGAUUUGACUUUAGUAAACCUUGUGAUUAAUAUGUUAAUUUCAACUUUUUAAUUUUAGCAUUUCAGUUUUUAUUAAAUUCAUUUCUUUACAUUGUAUUAUGAUUAGAGAGCGGAUUUGUAUGCAUUUGUAUAUUUAUUCUGGUUGAUCUUACACUAUGCUGAGUGACCACAGAAUUUGUUUUUAUGACCUUAACAAUUUAAACUGGAACUGCUGCAUAUUUUGAUAGUUAACUCAUUUUUAUUAAUUUAAGGACGUGUUUUAUGAUUUUCAUUGCAUACUUCUUUGUUUUUAAUGGAUAUUUUUGAAUUGAUUACUACUGCAAUAUUGACAAAAAAAAAGAUAAAAGUAAAUAAGGAAUUCAAUUUUGUCAUUUAUAGUUAUACACUUAUACACAGUACCCAUAUUGUAUUUAUAUUUUAUUUGCAUAAAAUAUUGUUUGGCGCCCAAAACAGAAUUAAUGCAACUUUUCAUACUACCUUAGGUUGCUGACAUGAAUAAUAUAAUAUAAUGUAAAGGCCAUCUCUAUACUAAGAGAAUAGGGGUACUGGGAAUUUCGACCUCCCCAAAGCAACAACUGGAUUCACUUUUCCACCGGAAAAGAUGAGAAGCGAAUCAUUAUUUCGACUAUUUAUCGUGCACAAAAUAAAAUAAAAAAAAUUACGCAGAUCGUAAAUUUGCUAAUACUUUCAAUAUAGGUCGAUUCACUCUAAUUUUUAAUCUAACAAUGCUAAAUGUGAUCUGCUGAUCGUAAAUUUGCUAUACAAGACAGAGCACAGAGACAAUAAAACGACCGUGUUACGUCUUAAAUCGCGGGUCAUGGAGCAGCGUUCACGAAACUUCGAUAAAAUUUAAUGCCCGCCACCGACCAGAAGUACCUCUAAUUGGUAAUCAUUCUGCCUUAUCACUAUGUACCACGAAAUAGUAAUAAUUGUUAUCAAAUAAAUACAUAAUAAUAUUAUUUUUUCGUUUGCCGACGUUUGAAUCACUCGCGAAUCGCAAUUAUUUGAAAUUUGAACAGAAAUACAGACUACAGUCGUACAAAGUUCUAUUGAUACAUUUUAGUACAAAAUCACCAUGGAUAAGUGUAUUCUUUUUAGUAAAACAUCCAAAGUAUCGCCCCGCCACAUUACGUUAAUUUUCAUUUAUUUCCAAAAAAUCAACGAAUUAAAUGAUUAUCCCAAUUUCUACCCGACGUAGAAUCUGCGGUGAUCAUUUCACAAUCAGUGAUUGUAAACAAUGCUCAGUAAAUUAGUAAACAUGGUCAGAGGCUGUCUCAAAACAUAAUCCAAACCAAUUGUCUGGGAUAGAGAAGUAAAAUACAUUUUAGCCAUUUACGGCAACAUUGGUACUACUCUGAGCACGACCAGGAAAUCACAUCUAAGAGAAAACUUUGUUUCUCCAACGAUGAGUGAGCAGAUAAUGAACAGCGAAUAAAGGAUUUGGAGGCCUUACAGUUGAUGAUUUUAAAUUGCCUGGAAAAGUCUUAGAUACCUAAUAAUGUCUAAUUCACACACAUUUAUUUCAUACAGUGGAUUAUACAUAUUAUGGUUUUCAAAAUUGAAAUAUAUAACUAAGAAGUGGAGCCAAUGUAUAACAAUUUUUCAGACGUUGACUUUCUUGAAGAUAAUCCUGCCGGCACAGAUUAAGCUGUACAAUAUUGGAGUGAAUUAUGAAACUUAAAGGUCGUCAAUCCCAUUUACAACGAGGAAAGACAAACUUCUUUGCAAAAACAGUAUGCAAUUACCAAAAAGCUCCAGUAGCUGUUAUUAAAAUUCUUCAACUAUCAACAAUGGACAUGAUCGAUGAAGACUUUUAAAUUAGGUAUAUUCUUAUACGUACCUAUUUCCUUUAAUUUGUAAUUAUUUUUCCUGUGUUUUCCCCCCUCCCCUCAUCGCCCAUCAGAAGGAAUAAUUAGUUACUUUAUUUUACCAAAAAAAACUAUACUUAUGCACUCUGGAGUUAUGUUUGUGAAUACAAUUAUUUCGUCAAUAACGUAUUUAUAAUUAUAAGAAAACUUUAUUUUUAAAUUUUAUAAUAAAAAUGAGAGGUAUUUAAAAUCUUUAUAAAUUAUACUAUCAUACUUUUCAUAUUUGUUGUAUUUAUAGUUCAAUUGUAUUUUAAAAUUUGGAAAUAUGUGACUAAUGUGUUGUAAUUUAUAGUUAUACUUGUCAUGUUAAGUGUGUCUCGCAUGAUAACUAAACACUAAGUUGUUCGGUGUUUAUUAAAAACUUUAUUUAUUUAUUUUAAUUACAUUUUAUGAAUUAUUUUAUUAAGAUUAGAGCGUGGAUUUGUAUGAUUUUGCAAAUUUAUACUGGUUGGUGAUAUGGUAAGUGAGCACAGAAUUUGUUUUAUGACAAUUAAGAUUUAAACUGUGAAUCUUUUGGGCAGCAUAUUUCAAUAAUUAAAUAACUUUUUUAUUUCAAGGACUUAUUUUAUUAUUAUAAUUGUAUAUUUCUGUGUUUUUAAUAUUUUUUUAGACAUUUGUGAAUUGAUUACUAUUGCAAUUUUUACAUUUGGGGUUUAACUGUUUUCUCAUACCAUAUGCUUAUUAUUUUUUUUAAGAGAUAAAGAAAUCUAAUUUUUAUACGUGAAUUAGUUUCAUGUCAUUCUGUUUCUAAAUAAAUCAAUUUUUAUUGCUUUUUUACAAUUAUUCCAGUAGUUAUUAGUUU
Long non-coding RNA from Metopolophium dirhodum (rose-grain aphid), 10693 nucleotides. RefSeq lists it as uncharacterized. NCBI's taxonomy places the organism in Eukaryota, Metazoa, Arthropoda, Insecta, Hemiptera, Aphididae. The transcript has 19 exons. The record is from RefSeq and is a predicted model, not a curated record.